AGAGUUUGACCCUGGCUCAGGAUGAACGCUAGCUACAGGCUUAACACAUGCAAGUCGAGGGGAAACGAUAUUGGAAGCUUGCUUCCGAUAGGCGUCGACCGGCGCACGGGUGAGUAACGCGUAUCCAACCUGCCCACCACUUGGGGAUAACCUUGCGAAAGUAAGACUAAUACCCAAUGAUAUCUCUAGAAGACAUCUGAAAGAGAUUAAAGAUUUAUCGGUGAUGGAUGGGGAUGCGUCUGAUUAGCUUGUUGGCGGGGUAACGGCCACCAAGGCGACGAUCAGUAGGGGUCUGGAGAGGAAGGUCCCCCCACAUUGGAACUGGAGACACGGUCCAAACUCCUACGGGAGCA
RNAcentral lists this ribosomal RNA (353 nucleotides) under uncultured bacterium. RNAcentral's name for it is "bacterial SSU rRNA". It matches the Rfam family "Bacterial small subunit ribosomal RNA", at positions 8 to 349 of the family's 1533-position model. The record is from RNAcentral.